RNAcentral lists this ribosomal RNA (1553 nucleotides) under metagenome. RNAcentral's name for it is "bacterial SSU rRNA". It matches the Rfam family "Bacterial small subunit ribosomal RNA". The record is from RNAcentral.
AGAGUUUGAUCCUGGCUCAGAUCGAACGCUGGCGGUGUGGCUAAAACAUGCAAGUCGAGCGCGAAAGUUCCCUUCGGGGAGCAAGUAGAGCGGCGGAAGGGCGAGGAAUACAUGGGCAACGUACCCUGAGCACGGGGACAGUCCGCCGAAAGGCGGAGUAAUACCCGAUGAGACCACAGCGUAUAAUAAUGCAGUGAUCAAAGGGCGGGGUCCCGACUUGUCGGGACCUGUCGGCUUGGGAGCGGCCCAUGUCCUAUCAGCUUGUUGGUGAGGUAACGGCUCACCAAGGCGACGACGGGUACCGGGACUGAGAGGUUGGCCCGGCGCAUUGGGACUGAGACACUGCCCAGACUCCUACGGGAGGCUGCAGUAACGAAUAUUCCGCAAUGGGCGAAAGCCUGACGGAGCGACGCCGCGUGUGGGAAUAAGCCCCUCGGGGUGUAAACCACUGUCAAGGGCCACCAAGCAAUGGGAGCUAAUAUCUCCCGGCGUUGAGGAACCCUGAAGGAAGCCACGGCUAACUUCGUGCCAGCAGCCGCGGUAAGACGAAGGUGGCAAGCGUUGUUCGGAAUCACUGGGCUCAAAGGGCACGUAGGCGGCUCAUCAAGUGUCUUGUGAAAUCCCUCGGCCCAACCGAGGAAUGGCAGGGCAAACUGAUGGACUUAAGGCAGGUAGGGGCGCGUGGAACUCUUGGUGGAGCGGUGGAAUGCGUAGAUAUCAAGAGGAACGCCAGCGGCGAAAGCGGCGCGCUGGGCCUGUUGGGCCGGGCCUUCAUUCGUGGAGACCCGGGCCUUCCUGACGCUGAGGUGCGAAAGCCAGGGGAGCAAACGGGAUUAGAUACCCCGGUAGUCCUGGCUGUAAACGAUGUCCACUAGGUCGAAGGUUCUCUGACGGGCUUUCGGCCGCAAGAAAACCGAUAAGUGGACCGCCUGGGGAGUACGGUCGCAAGGCUAAAACUCAAAGGAAUUGACGGGGGCUCACACAAGCGGUGGAGCAUGUUGCUCAAUUCGAUUCAACGCGAAGAACCUUAUCCUGGGUUUGACAUGUACGGAUGCCUAUCCUGAAAGGGAGUCGGUUGCCCUUCGGGGUGAAACGUACACAGGUGCUGCAUGGCUGUCGUCAGCUCGUGUCGUGAGAUGUUGGGUUAAGUCCCAUAACGAGCGAAACCCUUGUCGCUAGUUGCCAGCGGGUAAUGCCGGGAACUCUAGCGAGACUGCCGGUGUUAAACCGGAGGAAGGUGGGGAUGACGUCAAGUCCUCAUGGCCUUUAUGCCCAGGGCUGCAAACGUGCUACAAUGGCCGAGACAAACCGACGCAAGACCGCGAGGUGGAGCAAAUCGGAAAAAGUCGGCCCCAGUUCGGAUUGGAGUCUGCAACUCGACUCCAUGAAGUUGGAAUCGCUAGUAAUCGCGUAUCAGCGCGACGCGGUGAAUGUGUUCCUGAGCCUUGUACACACCGCCCGUCAAGUCAUGGAAGCCGGUAGCGCCCGAAGUCGGCACAAUUCAGUGCUGCCGAAGGUGAGAUUGGUAACUAGGACUAAGUCGUAACAAGGUA